GAGGAAAGCUGGCGGCGUGCCUAAUACAUGCCAGUCGAGCGAACGGACGAGAAGCUUGCUUUUCUGAUGUUAGCGGCGGACGGGUGAGUAACACGUGGAUAACCUACCUAUAAGACUGGGAUAACUUCGGGAAACCGGAGCUAAUACCGGAUAAUAUUUUGAACCGCAUGGUUCAAAAGUGAAAGACGGUCUUGCUGUCACUUAUAGAUGGAUCCGCGCUGCAUUAGCUAGUUGGUAAGGUAACGGCUUACCAAGGCAACGAUGCAUAGCCGACCUGAGAGGGUGAUCGGCCACACUGGAACUGAGACACGGUCCAGACUCCUACGGGAGGCAGCAGUAGGGAAUCUUCCGCAAUGGGCGAAAGCCUGACGGAGCAACGCCGCGUGAGUGAUGAAGGUCUUCGGAUCGUAAAACUCUGUUAUUAGGGAAGAACAUAUGUGUAAGUAACUGUGCACAUCUUGACGGUACCUAAUCAGAAAGCCACGGCUAACUACGUG
This 497-nucleotide ribosomal RNA is filed under the name uncultured bacterium. RNAcentral describes it as "partial 16S ribosomal RNA". It matches the Rfam family "Bacterial small subunit ribosomal RNA", at positions 28 to 507 of the family's 1533-position model. The record is from RNAcentral.